Long non-coding RNA from Lepisosteus oculatus (spotted gar), 3188 nucleotides. The record is from Ensembl. Lineage: Eukaryota; Metazoa; Chordata; Actinopteri; Semionotiformes; Lepisosteidae.
CUUUCUUUAAGUUAUUAUCAAAUAAUAAUCACUUGGAAAUAGGAUAACCUUUUAUUACAGCACACAGAAGGAUGUAAGCCAGGAGAUAUUUACAUAAUGUAAAGCAGACUUCCUGGCUUUGUCAACCAGUGGAUAUCUUUUGUUUAACCCAUCAAUUGUACGAUCCACUCUUUCCUGUGCAAAUAGAAAGAGAUUUCAUAUAUGUUCACAAAAAGCACAAAAAGCACAAAAGGGUACAAAAAGGAAAUGUUUAAAUUUAGAACCCCCACAUCUCGUCUUUCACAACUCCACCCUCAAAGCCUGUUUAGGUUUCUGAAUUCCUCCAGUUCCCCUGGUGUUUUCCUAUUUUGACUGUUGAGUUGAAGGACUCUAACAUCACAGGAGUUUCAGAUAAUACAAAAAGGCUUACUUCCCAUCAUGCAAUUAAACUCCUAAUUUUGCUUUGUCUUGAGGAAGGGAAGUCUCAGAAUACUUAGUGAAAAAUACUUCUGGAAAUAAGUAGAGGUUCAGACUGGAUAUGAGCCGGCUUCUGAACUGUAACCAUAAAACAAUGUGAUAAGGAAUUAUUUUUUUGCAUACAUCUGAACCCUGUGAGUUAUAUAAAUGUUUGUUUCUACAUUUAUACAACUAUCACAAUUUGUGGGUUUCACAAGUGAAGAGUUCACAGAUUACAGGUAACAUCAUAUGGAUGUCAUGACAAUGGAAGAUGUGAAUUGUAACUGACUGGUUUUACAAGAUGGUACAAUGGAUGACAUAAACAGCUCUAACUCUAAGCACAAAGAUUCUAAUGGAUUUGUUAAUAAAGUAUUUAAUAUUUCCCUAGACGUGGAGAAUACAACAGGCAUAAUGAGAAUACAGGAACCUGACCUCUGUGAAACACCUGUUGUGUGUCAGGGUGUAGGUAAGGAGAAAGUGGAAUUAAACAGGAAGCCUAAAAACACUGGAAUCUGGAGAAUCAUCACCAGGAAGAAGAAUCCAACAGGAUAUGGAAGAAGGCCCCAUUCUAUGAUUCUUCCUGGAGAGACUGUGGUACCUAAGUUAUCAUUUGUAGACAAGGUGAAAUCUUUCAAGAAACUGAAGUCUACAUCAGUUUUUAGAGGGAAAGGAAGCAAGAAUGCAAAGUUCAGCACUAUUCUUAAAGAUGAACAGGAAGAGGAGUCACACUUCAGAGACCCCUCCUCCCACGUAUUUUCACAAAGGAACUUGUUCAGAAAUCGAGGUAAAAGACAUUCCUACGCAGGCUGCACCAAAGACUUUGACUGCUCAUUUGAAGAUGUAGACAUUACAGUACCUUCUGAAAACAUUGAUAAUGAAAACCAAUGGCUCAGGGAACUCUCAAAUCAUCAGAAUGGUUUUAAAUCCAUUGAGGGUGUGUCUUACAUAAAGAGGACACAUACCAAUUUCUCAAACUGUAACAAUGCAACUCUGCUUGAAGAAUACAGUAUAAAGGACUGCCCAAAGACAUUUCAGGGAGGAAGAAAAUCUAAAGGUGCUGAUGUUUGGAGUUACCUAAGGAAAAUUUCUUUUAUUGGGAAAGGGAACUCAAAUCUAGCAGAAAAAAGUUUUGACUCUGAAUUAAAUACCUUUGACAAGACAAUUGAUUCAGAUUGUGCCUCCUCUGACUUUGAAUGUAUCAGAGAUCCUAACUCCUCCCCUAAACACGCAAGUGCUGAUACCAAAGGUAAUCAUUUUGGUGGUUUAUUCAGGUGGUUUAGUAAUGUGGCUGAAACAGCAAGGAAGUGGAGAAACUCUUCACGGUCUUUUUCACCCCCAGAAGAAGGCCACUCUUCUUUGGGAACUCAUAGUGCUCAGAGAUCUGGUGAGUUUAGUCAAGUUAUAUCAUUAAGCUCAAAGAAUGAAACUAAGAUCAUGUCCCCAACUCCCAAGACUGUUCUGUCCUCAGACCCAAGUUUAUGUGAUACCCUUUCAUCUCCUAGUUUAAUAGGAGAAUCUCCACAGGUGACUUUAAAGUCAUGGAGAACCUGUCCAGAUUCCCCCAGUCCUAAUGGAUACCUGUCUGUAGCAGCUGAAGCAUCUCCACACUCACCUCACAAAUUGGUGGCUUCUAUAGAGAAUCGCGAAAGCCACAUACCUGCUGAAAGUGGGAUUUGCCUUGAAAAAGAACCAGAGUCAGAUAGAACUUCAAGCCACAAUGAUACAGGAAAUUGUCUAGAUUCCAUGAAUGACUUUGUUUCUACCAAAGAAAGACAGGAUCAAACUGGGCACAAGAAUGAUGAAAAUGAAGAAAAUUACUCAAACAGCAAAACUGCUCCACAUCACUCAGGAAAUAAGGAUCUGCCCGAUGACCACUGUUUGGAGAUGGAAAACCAACAUGUCCCAAGCCUGUCAGAGCUCAACAGCUCCUCUUUAAUCGUCACUUCACCAAAAUGGAAGAAGCGUCGCCCAACCUCAGCCUACACUAUGAUUCUGAACCUACAGAGUCCAAUUCUAGAGGAGGGGUCUGUUUCAGCCUUUGAAGCCAAGACUGGCCAUGUGGAUGAAGACCCAACAGCUUUGAAAAGCCAGAUUUUUCCUAACAAUCAGUCUGACGUCCCCCUGAAAAGGCCAGUUAUGCGACAGAGACCUCAUUCUGUAAUAGAUGGGGCUUCUGUCACCAAGACAGAGUCUCUGCAUCCUCUCAGACCACUCUCUCGUCCUCCAGGACACUCUCCCUGUGGUUCAUCUUUUAAAGCCGCACUGCAAAGAUGUCAUUCUCUGCCACUUUCACAGAGCACUCCAGCAGGCUUGGAUGAAGCAGGCUGGAGCCACUUGCUGCACCAACCAGCUGAGGCCAUGUUGACACGUGAUGGUGAUGGAGGCACAAGCAGGAGGCGGAGGCUAAUAAGGCCUGGAGCUGAACAGCUGCUAGUCAAUAAUGUAAGUGAAAGAGAAAAUGCUUUCUCAGUCUUUAGACCGCACACCAAAAGGUCAUUGAGCUGUGCGGUAAAGCACACAUUUCACAGGCAAAUGUAGACGCAGUUUAUUUUCAUGUCUUUCUCCAAAGACGGAAGUCUUCAGUUGUCAUAAAUUGGCACAAACCAGCAAGAGGAGCUUAAAAGCUGGUAUACUAUGUUAUAAUUGGGUAAUAGUCUUGGGAAUAAAUGCUGUAAAUACUCAAAAAGGUAUUCUUGUCUGUCAACAUGGGUAUAUUCACCAUUAUACAUGUAUUCCAGCCAGCGUGUCGCCAU